This 427-nucleotide ribosomal RNA is filed under the name uncultured bacterium. RNAcentral's name for it is "bacterial SSU rRNA". It matches the Rfam family "Bacterial small subunit ribosomal RNA", at positions 354 to 796 of the family's 1533-position model. The record is from RNAcentral.
GUGAGGAAUAUUGCACAAUGGGCGAAAGCCUGAUGCAGCAACGCCGCGUGAGUGAUGAAGGCCUUUGGGUCGUAAAACUCUGUCCUUGGGGAAGAAAAAAAUGACGGUACCCUUGGAGGAAGCCCCGGCUAACUACGUGCCAGCAGCCGCGGUAAUACGUAGGGGGCAAGCGUUAUCCGGAAUUAUUGGGCGUAAAGAGUGCGUAGGUGGUUUUGUAAGCGUAGGGUGAAAGGCAGUAGCUCAACUAUUGUUAGCCCUGCGAACUGUGAGACUUGAGUGCAGGAGAGGAAAGUGGAAUUCCUAGUGUAGCGGUGAAAUGCGUAGAUAUUAGGAGGAACACCAGUGGCGAAGGCGACUUUCUGGACUGUAACUGACACUGAGGCACGAAAGCGUGGGUAGCAAACAGGAUUAGAAACCCCAGUAGUCC